GACGAACGCUGGCGGCGUGCUUAACACAUGCAAGUCGAACGGAAAGGCCCUGCUUUUGUGGGGUGCUCGAGUGGCGAACGGGUGAGUAACACGUGAGUAACCUGCCCUUGACUUUGGGAUAACUUCAGGAAACUGGGGCGAAUACCGGAUAGGAGCUCCUGCUGCAUGGUGGGGGUUGGAAAGUGUCGGCGGUUGGGGAUGGACUCGCGGCUUAUCAGCUUGUUGGUGGGGUAGUGACAUACCAAGGCUGUGACGGGUAGCCGGCCUGAGAGGGUGAACGGGCACAUUGGGACUAAGGUACGGCCCAGACUCGUACGGGAGGCAGCAGUGGGGAACAUUGCACAAUGGCGGGAAGCCUGAGGCAGCAACGCCGGGAGCGGGAUGACGGCCUUCGGGUUGUAAACCGCUUUCGACGGUGACGAAGAGUGAGUGACGGUAAUGGGUAAAGAAGCACCGGCUAACUACGUG
Molecule: ribosomal RNA, 468 nt
Filed under: uncultured bacterium
Lineage: Bacteria
Description: partial 16S ribosomal RNA
Rfam family: Bacterial small subunit ribosomal RNA
Source: RNAcentral